GAGUUUGAUCCUGGCUCAGAUUGAACGCUGGCGGCAUGCCUUACACAUGCAAGUCGAACGGUAACAGGCCGCAAGGUGCUGACGAGUGGCGAACGGGUGAGUAAUGCAUCGGAACGUGCCCAGUCGUGGGGGAUAACUGCUCGAAAGAGCAGCUAAUACCGCAUACGACCUGAGGGUGAAAGCGGGGGACCGAAAGGCCUCGCGCGAUUGGAGCGGCCGAUGUCAGAUUAGGUAGUUGGUGGGGUAAAGGCCUACCAAGCCGACGAUCUGUAGUUGGUCUGAGAGGACGACCAGCCACACUGGGACUGAGACACGGCCCAGACUCCUACGGGAGGCAGCAGUGGGGAAUUUUGGACAAUGGGGGCAACCCUGAUCCAGCAAUGCCGCGUGCAGGAAGAAGGCCUUCGGGUUGUAAACUGCUUUUGUCAGGGAAGAAAUCCUGUGGGUUAAUACCUCGUGGGGAUGACGGUACCUGAAGAAUAAGCACCGGCUAACUACGUGCCAGCAGCCGCGGUA
This 516-nucleotide ribosomal RNA is filed under the name uncultured bacterium. RNAcentral describes it as "bacterial SSU rRNA". It matches the Rfam family "Bacterial small subunit ribosomal RNA", at positions 9 to 522 of the family's 1533-position model. The record is from RNAcentral. RNAcentral also lists the same sequence under 1 other name.